RNAcentral lists this ribosomal RNA (460 nucleotides) under uncultured bacterium. Its description in RNAcentral is "partial 16S ribosomal RNA". It matches the Rfam family "Bacterial small subunit ribosomal RNA", at positions 338 to 795 of the family's 1533-position model. The record is from RNAcentral.
CCUACGGGUGGCUGCAGUGAGGAAUAUUGGUCAAUGGGCGAGAGCCUGAACCAGCCAAGUCGCGUGAAGGAUGACGGCCCUACGGGUUGUAAACUUCUUUUGUCAGGGAGCAAUUGGGUCCACGCGUGGGCUUAGCGAGAGUACCUGAAGAAAAAGCAUCGGCUAACUCCGUGCCAGCAGCCGCGGUAAUACGGAGGAUGCGAGCGUUAUCCGGAUUUAUUGGGUUUAAAGGGUGCGUAGGCGGAAUAUCAAGUCAGCGGUAAAAAUUCGGGGCUCAACCCCGUCGUGCCGUUGAAACUGAUGUUCUUGAGUGGGCGAGAGGUAUGCGGAAUGCGUGGUGUAGCGGUGAAAUGCAUAGAUAUCGAGAGGAACACUCGUGGCGAAGGCGGGUUCCUGGACAUUAACUGACGCUGAGGCACGAAGGCCAGGGGAGCGAAAGGGAUUAGAUACCCGAGUAGUC